RNAcentral lists this unclassified non-coding RNA (405 nucleotides) under soil metagenome. RNAcentral describes it as "partial contains 5.8S ribosomal RNA, internal transcribed spacer 2, and large subunit ribosomal RNA". The stretch from base 1 to 121 matches the Rfam family "5.8S ribosomal RNA", at positions 35 to 154 of the family's 154-position model. The record is from RNAcentral.
GAUGAAGAACGUAGCGAAAUGCGAUAAGUAAUGUGAAUUGCAGAAUUCAGUGAAUCAUCGAAUCUUUGAACGCACCUUGCGCCCUUUGGCCAUUCCGAAGGGCAUGCCUGUUUGAGUAUCAUGAACACCUCAACUCUUUAUGGUUUUCCAUGAUGAGCUUGGACUCUGGGGGUUUUGCUGGCUCGCAGUCGGCUCCUCUAAAAUGAAUCAGCUUACCAGUGUUUGGUGGGUAUCAUGGGUGUGAUAACUAUCUACGCUUGUGGUUUUUCCACCAGGUAACCUUCAGCAGUGGAGGUUCGCUGGAGCUCAUAGAUGUCUCUCCUCAGUGAGGACAGCCCUUUGAAUGUUUGAUCUCAAAUCAGGUAGGACUACCCGCUGAACUUAAGCAUAUCAAUAAGCGGAGGA